UGGGGAAUUUUGGACAAUGGGCGAAAGCCUGAUCCAGCAAUGCCGCGUGUGUGAAGAAGGCCUUCGGGUUGUAAAGCACUUUUGUCCGGAAAGAAAUCCUUGGCUCUAAUACAGUCGGGGGAUGACGGUACCGGAAGAAUAAGCACCGGCUAACUACGUGCCAGCAGCCGCGGUAAUACGUAGGGUGCAAGCGUUAAUCGGAAUUACUGGGCGUAAAGCGUGCGCAGGCGGUCCGCUAAGACAGAUGUGAAAUCCCCGGGCUUAACCUGGGAACUGCAUUUGUGACUGGCGGGCUAGAGUAUGGCAGAGGGGGGUAGAAUUCCACGUGUAGCAGUGAAAUGCGUAGAGAUGUGGAGGAAUACCGAUGGCGAAGGCAGCCCCCUGGGCCAAUACUGACGCUCAUGCACGAAAAGCGUGGGGAGCAAACAGGAUUAGAUACCCUGGUAGUCCACGCCCUAAACGAUGUCAACUAGUUGUCGGGUCUUCAUUGACUUGGUAACGUAGCUAACGCGUGAAGUUGACCGCCUGGGGAGUACGGUCGCAAGAUUAAAAACUUAAAUGAAUUGACGGGGUCAUAGCUGUUUCCUG
RNAcentral lists this ribosomal RNA (588 nucleotides) under uncultured bacterium. RNAcentral's name for it is "partial 16S ribosomal RNA". It matches the Rfam family "Bacterial small subunit ribosomal RNA", at positions 355 to 1376 of the family's 1533-position model. The record is from RNAcentral.